Molecule: ribosomal RNA, 253 nt
Filed under: uncultured bacterium
Lineage: Bacteria
Description: partial 16S ribosomal RNA
Rfam family: Bacterial small subunit ribosomal RNA
Source: RNAcentral
UACGUAGGGUGCAAGCGUUGUCCGGAAUUAUUGGGCGUAAAGAGCUCGUAGGUGGUUUGUUACGUCUGCUGUGAAAACCUAGGGCUUAACCCUGGGCUUGCAGUGGAUACGGGCAGACUAGAGGUAGGUAGGGGAGAAUGGAAUUCCUGGUGUAGCGGUGAAAUGCGCAGAUAUCUGGAGGAACACCGGUGGCGAAGGCGGCAUCCUGGACCAACACUGACGCUGAGGAGCGAAAGCCAGGGGAGCAAACGGG